Molecule: ribosomal RNA, 888 nt
Filed under: uncultured bacterium
Lineage: Bacteria
Description: bacterial SSU rRNA
Rfam family: Bacterial small subunit ribosomal RNA
Source: RNAcentral
GUGCCAGCAGCCGCGGUAAUACGGAGGAUACGAGCGUUAUCCGGAUUUAUUGGGUUUAAAGGGUGCGUAGGCGGUUAGUUAGGUCUAUGGUGAAAUCGUUGUGCUCAACACAAUUCAGCUUUAGAAACCGAUUAACUAGAAUGUAAGUGGCGCAGGCGGAAUAAAGCAUGUAGAGGUGACAUUCAUAGAUAUGCUUUAGAACACCGAUCGCGAAGGCGGCUUGCGAGGGUACGAUUGACGCUAAUGCACGAAAGCGUGGGUAUCGAACAGAAUUAGAUACUCUGGUAGUCCACGCUGUAAACGAUGAUAACUAUAUGUCGGCGAUAGACAGUCGGUGUAGCAGCGAAAGCGGUAAGUUAUCCACCUGGGGAGUACGAUCGCAAGGUUGAAACUCAAAGGAAUUGACGGGGGCCCGCACAAGCGGAGGAGCAUGUGGUUUAAUUCGAUGAUACGCGAGGAACCUUACCCGGGCUUGAACGUGAGAUGGAUAUGUAAGAGAUUACAUAGUUAGCAAUAACGUCUUGCGAGGUGCUGCAUGGUUGUCGUCAGCUCGUGCCGUGAGGUGUCAGGUUAAGUCCUAUAACGAGCGCAACCCUUGUCAUUAGUUACCAGCAUGUGAAGGUGGGGACUCUAAUGAUACUGCCGGCGUAAGCCGAGAGGAAGGGGGGGAUGACGUCAAAUCAGCACGGCCCUUACGUCCGGGGCGACACACGUGCUACAAUGGCCAUUACAGAGGGCAGUUACUUGGUGACAAGAUACGAAUCUCAAAAGGUGGUCUUAGUACGGAUUGGAGUCUGCAACUCGACUCCAUGAAGUUGGAUUCGCUAGUAAUCGCAGAUCAGCCAUGCUGCGGUGAAUACGUUCCCGGGCCUUGUACACACCGCCCGA